GUGUUGGUGGACCGAGGAGAUCAAGCGGGGUGCAAAGAGCUGCUGGAUCGAGACCGUUGUGUCUGAAAGACCGUACAAGAAGCCAAUGUCCAACAGUGGACGUCCAUCAGCUGGAUAAAUAUAUUUCAGCGUGAAGAUCGCAACUUCAACAGCAAUGCAAUCAUACGACAGCUCUUUGAAAUGCUCAAGUAUUUCAUAAAACAUGGCAACUGUGAAAAAGACGUGCCAGUUUUAGAUCCUUUCCAUUUUGAUUAUUCAGAUAUAGAAUUUUCUUCACCUGCAAAUAUAUUGAGAUUACAAGCUGGUUUUGCUAAUGGAGUUUUGAUUGGAUUUGGUGAUUAUGAACUACUGAAAACACAGUUUACAAGAGAAGACAUUGCCGCAGAAUUGUGUUUACAUUUUCCGUCUAUUUUAUUCAAAUCAGGGCACUAUGAAAUGCAAGGCGAUAUCUACGACUCUAUACCUAUCACUGGAAUGGGAAAAUUCGA
Molecule: long non-coding RNA, 488 nt
Organism: Bicyclus anynana (squinting bush brown)
Lineage: Eukaryota; Metazoa; Arthropoda; Insecta; Lepidoptera; Nymphalidae
Exons: 4
Source: RefSeq, a predicted model, not a curated record